RNAcentral lists this unclassified non-coding RNA (201 nucleotides) under soil metagenome. Its description in RNAcentral is "partial contains 5.8S ribosomal RNA, internal transcribed spacer 2, and large subunit ribosomal RNA". The record is from RNAcentral.
AAGACUAUAGACCUGCGGAGUACCUGCGGAAGGAUCAUUAUCAAUUUACAGCGGACUUCGGUCCUGUCUGCACCCUUGUCUUUUGCGUACUAUAUGUUUCCUCGGUGGGCUUGCCUGCCGAUAGGACACUUAUAAACUCUUUUGUAAUUGCAAUCAGCGUCAGAAAACUAUAAUAGUUACAACUUUCAACAAUGGAUCUCU